AAAAAAGGUAAAUGAAACUUGAGGAGGAGGAAAAGAAAAAGAGUUGACGACGUUAACAGGAAGGAAAAAUAUAAAAUUCACUAUCAUACGUGGACCAAUUAGAUUAGCGGGGCAGGAGUAAGAGCAAGCAGAGGAUUUCAGUUCCCUUGCAUCGCCAAACAUUUACUAACCACACCAUAUCUUUUUUACACUCAGGAUUAAGGUGUAGGGCCUGUAUCCUACAGGGUCUUUCAGAGGGGAGCCCC
Molecule: long non-coding RNA, 245 nt
Filed under: Gossypium barbadense (sea-island cotton)
Lineage: Eukaryota; Viridiplantae; Streptophyta; Magnoliopsida; Malvales; Malvaceae
Description: long non-coding RNA (GBAR_LNC021436)
Source: RNAcentral